This 842-nucleotide ribosomal RNA is filed under the name Intrasporangium sp. IM-3749. RNAcentral's name for it is "bacterial SSU rRNA". It matches the Rfam family "Bacterial small subunit ribosomal RNA", at positions 38 to 889 of the family's 1533-position model. The record is from RNAcentral. Lineage: Bacteria; Bacillati; Actinomycetota; Actinomycetes; Micrococcales; Intrasporangiaceae.
GGCGGCGUGCUUAACACAUGCAAGUCGAACGGUGAUGAUGGGGCUUGCCCUGUCUGAUCAGUGGCGAACGGGUGAGUAACACGUGAGCAACCUGCCCCAGACUCUGGGAUAACUCCGGGAAACCGGAGCUAAUACCGGAUAUGACCCUCGUACGCAUGUGCUGGGGGUGGAAAGUUUUUCGGUCUGGGAUGGGCUCGCGGCCUAUCAGCUUGUUGGUGAGGUAGUGGCUCACCAAGGCGACGACGGGUAGCCGGCCUGAGAGGGCGACCGGCCACACUGGGACUGAGACACGGCCCAGACUCCUACGGGAGGCAGCAGUGGGGAAUAUUGCACAAUGGGCGGAAGCCUGAUGCAGCGACGCCGCGUGAGGGAUGACGGCCUUCGGGUUGUAAACCUCUUUCAGCAGGGAAGAAGCGAAAGUGACGGUACCUGCAGAAGAAGCACCGGCUAUCUACGUGCCAGCAGCCGCGGUAAUACGUAGGGUGCGAGCGUUGUCCGGAAUUAUUGGGCGUAAAGAGCUUGUAGGCGGUUUGUCGCGUCUGCUGUGAAAAUCCGGGGCUCAACCCCGGACUUGCAGUGGGUACGGGCAGACUAGAGUGUGGUAGGGGAGACUGGAAUUCCUGGUGUAGCGGUGGAAUGCGCAGAUAUCAGGAGGAACACCGAUGGCGAAGGCAGGUCUCUGGGCCACUACUGACGCUGAGAAGCGAAAGCAUGGGGAGCGAACAGGAUUAGAUACCCUGGUAGUCCAUGCCGUAAACGUUGGGCGCUAGGUGUGGGGCUCAUUCCACGAGUUCCGUGCCGCAGCUAACGCAUUAAGCGCCCCGCCUGGGGAGUACGGCCGC